UUUUUUUUUUUUUUUUUUUUUGCUCUUCUCCAUUUUAGUUUCCUUUUAAGGUUUAAAAAAGCCAUGGCAUUCCGUAGGUAGUCACAGUUGCCUAAGGGCUUUAAGCAAGCUUCCAUCCGAGGGGCCCGGCGUGUUGCCUUCGGGCUUCGCGCUAACAGGUGGAUUUGUUCUUUGGAACCGUAACGCCCAGAGCUGGGGGACGCUGCCGAGCGAGGGAUGGCUUCCGGGGAGCAGCGGGGCAGGCCGCGGUUGUCACUUCAUUUGGCAAUUUCCUCCCCCCCUCCCCCCACCCCCCCCCACCGCCCAGCCCCGCCCGCGCAGAAACCGGAGCGAAACAGCUGCGGAUCUCCCUCUCCUCCCCAGGCUCCGGGCAACCUAGGCGAGGGGCGCCUAAGAUGGAGAGGAGGUUCGACCGUCUUCCCGGAGCAGAUAGGACCCGCGCGCCAGCCAAUCAGAGCGCGGCUCGGCCGCUCCCCGCCUCAGCCGCAGCCGCAGCCGCAGCCUCCGGGCAAGUGAAGUUCCAGCAACUCGCCCGCCCGAAGAGUCCGAGUCUUUCUUGUGCCCACAGCCCCGCGGAGGCAGAGAGCGCCAUCCAAACUUUAUUAAUCUCUCCCCGUUCUUUCUCCCUCAGUCCAGUGCAUCUCAAAGGUCAGCCCUCUUCUUUUAAAAGACUGAUAUUAUUAAUUCACUGACAAUCCCUCCACCAUUCUUUUUUUUCUCUCUUGCAGGAAAAAGAAGGGGGAGAAAUGGUGAAAAGAGCUUUUUUUUUUUUUUAAUCCCCCCCCCGCCUUUUUUUGUCCUUCAGUGGGAGCGUUUAGACAGUCGAGGAGGUUUUGUCCGGGAACAAAACGCAGGGUUGGGAGGUUUUGUGAGAGUGUUGUUUGUUGAAGUGGAGCUAAGAAAAAGCGGCGGCUUUCUCCUCAUUGUGAAGAAACCAAUCAGUGGUAUUUGGAAAACUGUUAGCAUUGUGCACUUCUUCUGUGUCCAUUGUGAGGCGUUUCUUUUCACAAGGUUUUUUUUUCAGCCGAUCCAGCUGGCCGGAAUGAAUAGCGGUGCAAUGUGUACACGCUUUGUCCCUCCGGCCUUCAAGUAGCCCCCAUUGAAUAGACUAAGUUGACACUGCGUGACAGUGAAACAACAUAAUAAAAAAUACAUGAGCCCCUGAAUAGGAGCAGGCGCAUAAAUAAAUAAAAUGGGUGACCAAAACUGGAUAAACUGAAUGACAAAACGGUGAAAGGGGAACAAAAAGAUAUUUAACACGCUAGAUUAGCAUUAGAAUGCGAUCUACAAGGCAGAACAAUUGAUGAAUAGGUUUACCGGCCAAGAAAGAAAUGGACUAAAUGCCCUUUGAAUAGAUAUGCUUUUUGCAAGGGCUUUGAAUAGAUAUGCUUUUUGCAAGGGCUGAAUGGGAAAAGGUAAAGAUGAAGCUAUGCAAAUGAGCGGGGGAACUUUUUAUAUAUAUUCUUUAAACACACACACACACACUGCGGGAGGAGAGCACUGCCUCCGGGUGUUUAUAGAAGCAAUAAUUGCCAUUAUUAGCAUUGUCUGCAACAGAUAGAAAUUGAACAGGUUGGGAUAAUAUAGGGUAGCAGUAAUUAUUCUUCUAAUUAAUGGUCCUUUGCUACUUGAAAAAAGAAAAAAGGAAAGGAGAAGUAAAAGUUAUGCAGAAGUUAUGUUUCCUUGUGUCCCUUUGCCCAGUGUUGGAAUCCGUGGAGCAGCAAGUCUGGCGAUUCCAAGAUGCAUGCUGAUUUUAGAACAUUCCAGAGAGCCAAUCCUUAGACUCUGGGUUUGGGACCUGGUUUCCAUUUAUGCUGCGUUUUCGAGAGUCUAAUACAGUGUCUGGUACAUGAUAGGUACUGAAUGAAUAGUUGUGGAUUGAAUGAAUAUAAAUUUAAUGUUGGAAUCCUGGCCUCCUGUGGAUGUGGUGGGGGGGAGAAUGACCAUUGACGGCUUUUGCCUUUCACCGCCCCCCCCCGCCCCGGGGUGCAGUCCCGGAGGGAAGGUCGCCACCACCUUCCUUCUUGAGGAUUUUGUUUUCAGCCUACGUGGGCCGCUGGAGAAGAUGCGGAAGAUCAAACAAGCUGACGAGCGACUACUGCCCCCCUAUUCCAUCACUCUCACCCCCAAAUCUACCCCAAAGCCAGAGCUUGUGAGGAGCCGGUCCUGGCUGCCUAGUAACAUUGUAUGCACCCCCUCAGAGAAUUAGAAUAUGCUUAAAGCUUAGCUCUUUCUCUAGGGUUUCUCCCUUUCCCCCUCCCGCCCUCCCCCCGCCCAAGCCUUUGAUUGAACCCCUCGCCACAGGGAACCUCCUGGCUGAACUGCCGGCGGAGGCAGGACGCGAACCUGGAGAGAUCUGGAUUGUCCUCAGGUUCCCUGCGCUGCCCUGGAAGCGGGCAUCGGUAACCUUGUCAACGGUUUUCUUUUCGAUGGUUGACCUCCAGGCCUGCCGAGCUGCUGGGCCACCCAGCCAUCGAACUUUCCAGCGGCUUUCAGCUCUGCCCUAACCUAAAUGAAUAAUGCCAAUUCUAGACGGCCCAGCUGACAAAUCCCUGCGAACGCGCAGAGGCUCAGAGGGCUCUCUGAGCAGCAGCUCUCCCGACCUCCCCGACGGCGGGCGGGAAGCCGGGUUUUUAGAAGCAGUGGCAACUGCUUCGGAAUUGUUAUGACUAAGGGGCGGGGGGGGGGCGGGGGGGGAGAUCUCAAACUCCAAAAGCAGCGUUCUCCCCCCUCCCCGCCCUUCUUCUUUUUAAAGAAGCAUUUGAUCCUUACCCAGAGACCGGGGGCGCGCGAAAGCCUCUCUUGUUUUAAAAUGUAACCGGAGCCUCCGCGGUUUCAGCUUCGCUUAAAACACGCAAAGUCCUAGAAACUGACAAAUCUGAAAAACUUGCGAAGAGCUCUAUACGGAUAAACCCGUCGGGAGUCACUUUGAGAUGAUAGAACUGACAGCGAUUCAGGGGGAUGGGCAUUUGUGGGGAGGCAGCGACUGGUUGGAUUGGGUUUCCAGGUUCUAGGUGGCCACUGGGCCUUUGGCAACCACCUGGGCACGGAGAAGUGGUACCCACCCGGCAACGAAGCUCAGCGCCUUGGUCUUAGGGAUGUCUCCGCACUCUCCACCCCGGCCCUUCACCGAACACUUUGUCAGGUAGACUGCACCCCCCUUGCCUCUGCAGCCCCAUCAUUCACACUUGACUGGAGGAAAUAAAAUCGGCUUUGGCUU
RNAcentral lists this long non-coding RNA (3220 nucleotides) under Sus scrofa (pig). Its description in RNAcentral is "lncRNA (ENSSSCG00000052937.1)". The record is from RNAcentral. Lineage: Eukaryota; Metazoa; Chordata; Mammalia; Artiodactyla; Suidae.